UUGUAUUUGUAUCCUUAG
RNAcentral lists this small nuclear RNA (18 nucleotides) under Arabidopsis thaliana (thale cress). RNAcentral describes it as "snRNA_14071". Lineage: Eukaryota; Viridiplantae; Streptophyta; Magnoliopsida; Brassicales; Brassicaceae. The record is from RNAcentral.